AGUAGAAUAAGUUAAAUAAACUGUUGGGCUCAUAACCCAAUAAUGAGCGGUGAAACCCCCUCUUCUACCU
This 70-nucleotide transfer RNA is filed under the name Ophioceres incipiens. Its description in RNAcentral is "tRNA-Met". It matches the Rfam family "tRNA". From Rfam's summary of the family: Transfer RNA (tRNA) molecules are approximately 80 nucleotides in length. Their secondary structure includes four short double-helical elements and three loops (D, anti-codon, and T loops). The record is from RNAcentral. Lineage: Eukaryota; Metazoa; Echinodermata; Ophiuroidea; Amphilepidida; Ophiolepididae.